AGCGGGGUGAUGGUGCUUGCACUAUCACUUAGCGGCGGACGGGUGAGUAAUGCUUAGGAAUCUGCCUAUUAGUGGGGGACAACAUUUCGAAAGGAAUGCUAAUACCGCAUACGUCCUACGGGAGAAAGCAGGGGAUCUUCGGACCUUGCGCUAAUAGAUGAGCCUAAGUCGGAUUAGCUAGUUGGUGGGGUAAAGGCCUACCAAGGCGACGAUCUGUAGCGGGUCUGAGAGGAUGAUCCGCCACACUGGGACUGAGACACGGCCCAGACUCCUACGGGAGGCAGCAGUGGGGAAUAUUGGACAAUGGGCGGAAGCCUGAUCCAGCCAUGCCGCGUGUGUGAAGAAGGCCUUAUGGUUGUAAAGCACUUUAAGCGAGGAGGAGGCUACUUUAGUUAAUACCUAGAGAUAGUGGACGUUACUCGCAGAAUAAGCACCGGCUAACUCUGUGCCAGCAGCCGCGGUAAUACAGAGGGUGCAAGCGUUAAUCGGAUUUACUGGGCGUAAAGCGCGCGUAGGCGGCUAAUUAAGUCAAAUGUGAAAUCCCCGAGCUUAACUUGGGAAUUGCAUUCGAUACUGGUUAGCUAGAGUGUGGGAGAGGAUGGUAGAAUUCCAGGUGUAGCGGUGAAAUGCGUAGAGAUCUGGAGGAAUACCGAUGGCGAAGGCAGCCAUCUGGCCUAACACUGACGCUGAGGUGCGAAAGCAUGGGGAGCAAACAGGAUUAGAUACCCUGGUAGUCCAUGCCGUAAACGAUGUCUACUAGCCGUUGGGGCCUUUGAGGCUUUAGUGGCGCAGCUAACGCGAUAAGUAGACCGCCUGGGGAGUACGGUCGCAAGACUAAAACUCAAAUGAAUUGACGG
Molecule: ribosomal RNA, 857 nt
Filed under: uncultured Acinetobacter sp.
Lineage: Bacteria; Pseudomonadati; Pseudomonadota; Gammaproteobacteria; Moraxellales; Moraxellaceae
Description: bacterial SSU rRNA
Rfam family: Bacterial small subunit ribosomal RNA
Source: RNAcentral